RNAcentral lists this ribosomal RNA (462 nucleotides) under Triticum aestivum (bread wheat). Its description in RNAcentral is "partial small subunit ribosomal RNA". Lineage: Eukaryota; Viridiplantae; Streptophyta; Magnoliopsida; Poales; Poaceae. The record is from RNAcentral.
AUGGACGCCUCCGCCACCGGCGCCGUCGCCAAGGCGAAGAAGUAUGUGGUGGGGCGCAAGCUCGGCGGCGGCCCCAGGAAGAAGGCGGUGGCGCGCUCCGUCAAGGCCGGGCUGCAGUUCCCCGUCGGCCGCAUCGGGCGCUUCCUCAAGAAGGGCCGCUACGCGCAGCGGGUCGGCAUGGGCGCCCCCGUCUACCUCGCCUCCGUCCUCGAGUACCUCGCCGCCGAGCUUCUUGAGCUGGCCGGGAACGCCGCCAAGGACAACAAGAAGUCCCGCAUCAUCCCGCGCCACCUGCUGCUCGCCAUCCGGAACGACCAGGAGCUUGGCAAGCUGCUCGCCGGCGUCACCAUCGCGCACGGCGGCGUCCUGCCCAACAUCAACCCCGUGCUGCUCCCCAAGAAGACGGCGGAGAAGGAGCCCAAGUCUCCCAAGAAGGCCGCCAAGUCCCCCAAGAAGGCUUAG